This 1874-nucleotide long non-coding RNA is filed under the name Homo sapiens (human). Its description in RNAcentral is "HSALNT0338351". Lineage: Eukaryota; Metazoa; Chordata; Mammalia; Primates; Hominidae. The record is from RNAcentral.
GCUGCCUCUGCUGGGAAGGAAGCGUUUUUCCCACAACAUAUUAAAUGCGGCACUGGAGGAUGGCUGGCUGGUCCAGGGGCCGGAUCUGGCUCUGUUGCUCACAAUGAUUCUGUUUGGCAAGCGUUUUUAAAAAGCCUUGGUAAGUUCCAGAUGGUGACCACUUGCCUCAUUUAUCCUCCAUUUGAAAAAUUUCAAAAACUAUUCAUUUGUUUGCAUACCAAGGCAGUACAGAAUCUUCUACAGUGGCACUUCGAUGCUCAAUCAUCGUUUUUCCUUUUUCUUAAUUUUCAAGUCUCAUGAGUCUCCAAAUCAUAGCAUCUGCAACCAUUUUUCUGUGCAAAGGGCUCCGUGAAGUGCCUAAGCAUGGUCUUCUUUAAGCCUCGACAUGACCCUGUGAUACAGGCAGUAGGUGCUGUUACAUCCGUCGUAAAGAUGAGAAGCUGAGAAUCAGAGAGAUUAGUGCUCUUUCCUGAGGUCACAGAGAGCAAGUGGAGGGGAACAGGACUCUUCCUGCUGCAUCUUUUGGCCCUUCGCAUCCUGCGCUGUCCAGGUGAGAGUCAGCACUCCACAGGUGAGGGACAUUGGAAUGGAGGUGGCAAGAGUACCCUGCAGAGGUCGGAAAAGCUGAAAACCAUCUCACUCAGAAGUUCCAGGACUUGAUGGAGUCAGUGAGCCAGAACAAAUGCUCAAUCAUCUCUCGGAGGAAAGAUGAGCUGGAAUGCCAGUGAGAUCUGAGAGAUGGUCUUCGGGGGAAGCUGCCUACGUCUUUGUAUGGAACCUCCAGCUUUGAAACAGCCUCAGGGAAGAAUCUUAUAAAAGCUGCAAGCUAAGCACAAGCUUAGAAAGACAUGUGGGCACUGGUAGUUGAGUGAGGAGAAAUUCUCCACUUUGCUUAUCUGGAACUUGUUUUGAAUGAGCAAAUGGAAAUUUGGGGAUUUUAAGGCUAGUUUUCUAGGCUUCGUUAAUAUUUCUCAUAAGUCAAAUUCUCUGCCAUGGUUAUUGGGUUUAAGUGAAAUUCUAAAUUUCUUUACUUUCUUUUUUUUUUUGAAAUGGAGUUUCACUCUUGUUGCCCAGGCUGGAAUGCAGUGGCACUACCUCAGCUCACUGCAACUUCUGCCUUUUGGGUUCAAGCGAUUUUCCUGCCUCAGCCUGCUGAGUAGCUGGGACUGCAGGCCUGCACCACUGUACCCAGCUAAUUUUUGUGUUUUUAGUAGAGAUGGGGUUUCAUCAUGUUGGCCAGGCUGGUCUCGAGCUCCUGACCUCAAGCGAUCCACCCACCUUGGUCCCCCAAAGUGCUGGGAUUACAGGCGUGAGCCACCAUGCCCGGCUGAAAUUCUAAAUUUCUAAUGCCCACUGCCUUUCAAUGACCCGGAUUAAAUGGGACUCUCAAAAGAAAUGGCUUUUUGUUGAGUAUUGCCAUCAGAGAACCCGGGUUUCUGCAGUUUCCUUUUAUCCUGUGAGAAAGAUGCUAGUGAUUCUUUACUUUUGAACAAGCAUGAUUGAAUAGCCUGUUUUAGUUACUGUAACAAUGCUGUGUAGCAAUUGUAUUAUUUGGAAAUAAUAUGCCAUAUACAAUAAUAUAAUAUCAAAGGACAGUAAGGCUCCUGUCUUGGUUUUAGAUAAAGAGAAAGCAGAUGCUGUUUUAUUCUCUUGGUGGAUGGUUUAAAUUGCCAUCAGCGGAUCAGUGGUUAAUUGAUCGUCGAUCAGUGGAUCAGUGGUUAAUUGAUCAUUGAGGACUUUUGGAUCCACUUACUGAUAAUUACAUGAAGUCAAUUAUUUUUAAGACCUCUUGAUUUUCAAAUCAUGGCCUGUCAUUUAGCCUUCCGAACUUUUUAUGUGCGGGGAGGGAAGGGGGUAGGUGAGCCAAUGUGAUA